UGCACCGCGUCUCAUCUCAAGUUGGGUAGGUCCCCAGCACCCACCUCACAAACCCUAUCCUCCAAAGACAUGCAGCGCUGCCCUCCUCACUCCUCCUCCAUCUUUCCUUGUCAGCCGCCGCUGCCGCCAUUCUGCAUCGCUCCUCUCUGUCCGACGGCCACGCCACUGGGAGGAAUCCGCCGCACAAGAGGAUAGGGGACGCCUGUUGGCGAGCUUCCAGGCGGGAAGCUGAUGGGGAGCACGCCAUCAACGAGCCUCUGGGGAGGAGCUAUCGGCCGGUCCUGAGUCGUCCACCAAAGGCCUCCAAUUGUGUCGUCGUGAGAGGAGCAGCAUGGGACGAGAUGAGGAUAUGCCGCCGGCAUCGGACUCCCUCUUCCCUGGCUGCAUCUUCCCCGAAUAAAUGUUCUAGGGUUGGAGAAGAGGGGGUUGCGCAACAGCUUUGCUUAGAUGAGUGCUCAGGUUGAUCACCUUCACCAAGAAAAGUGUGAUGCCAGCAUGGGUUUAUAGAUUCAUAAUUUUCUUAUACACUUGCUCGGCGCACACCAGCUAGGCAGGCCAGGGGAUGAAGGCACGAUGCAGGGGGUGCAGCAGCGGUAGCGGGGAAACCCCUCCUGGCCGAGCCUUAUCCCUAGCCUCUACCUACAGAGGUGAACCCCAGGAAAGCUAAAAGUUUGUGGAGGAGCGCCGACACAGGUUAGCAUCUUCCUAUUUCUCUUCAUCCUUUCCUCAACUUCCAUGGGAACCUAUGAUUUUUUUCUUCCAGUUUUUAGAGGGUAUUUUGGACUCAAGAUUGAUCUGGUAGUGCACGUGUGGUGUGCCAUAAGCAAUAAUAUCUUAUCUGUGCCAUGACAAUAAGGGCUUGCUGCAGCCAGGUAGUUCUUGGGAGUAUGGUGCUUCGAUUUGGUUCCUUUGGUGGUAUCUUCCCUCCCUUCUCCCUCCUUCUAUUUCUUACUGAUGCUUUGAUACUUUGAUCUGUUGUAUUGGCUAAAAUUAUGUACUUGGUGAGUCCUACAUGCUUAUUGAGAUGAAUCAUUUACAAAGUUAUAGUGUUAUUUUCAGAAUCUGUAAUGACACAGUUACCUUCAAAAUUUGAGAUGAACCAUUUCCAGAGCAUAUAUUGAGAGCCUAGAAGUAGCAGGGGUCGGCGGAGCAGCGGAUGCGGUCGAUGGAGUAGCAGGAGCAAGGAGCUCGAGAUGGAAGAGGGCCUAUCGAGAUUAUAGAACUGGAUAGAGGUGCCUUAUGAUAGUAUAGCUAAAGAACAAUAGGUAUGAGUAGAUGGCACUGCCACCUAUGUGUUUCAUUUUUAUUUGUUGUGAUAUUUCACACACCCCAUAUUGGCACCCCCUCUAUAUUUUCCCAUGCUUAUAGACUUGCAGAAACACAUGCUGCUUGUCUCUAUUUAUCAUGGUAUUCACAUUAUAAAUUAAAAUGUAGUUGGAAAGAAUUAUGGGUCAUUUUGGCAUGAAGCUCGAGAAUGAUAAUACCACCUCAAGCGGGGAUAAAGCAGGACAACAAAUAGAUGAGAUGUAAUUACUGAAACUAGAAAAAAUUCUCUUCUUCUGAUUAUGCAUAUGUAAAGUCAUGAUUACGUGUGGACCAGAUGUGUGCUAUUUUCCAUUGCAUACCAGAUUGUCGGUUAAAAGAGUUUUUGUCUUCCAGCAAUGAGCUUUCAUUUUCAUUGCAGAGGUUUGUUUGGUUCAUCUCCUUUGGUCAUUUUUUUCAGUUUGUCUCUUCAGAAGUUUGGGUGCCUCUGUUUUGCUACUUUUUAGUUCUCAUCAUUAAAGUUGUAUCUUUCCUCCCCUCUUGGAUUGUUGCAUCCUUAUUGUGUCUCAUCGUUAAGGUGGCACAUAUAAGUAUUAAUUUAUUCAGUUCUGCUAAAGUACCGCUGAAAAUUCAAAUUCUAUGUACUUCACUUUUGGCUAUACACGAGAAUACAGUACACAUAUUUCAGUAGUGAUUGAAUGUGAAGACCAUUGGGCAUGUUUUUGUAAAUGUGGAUUAAUUAAGUUUUAUUGCUUUAUGGUGAGAUGAAUAUGUUGAUUAUAAUGAUAUAAUAUUAAGAGAUUUUCAAGUGUAAGCUUGUAGCAAAUUAUCUUCUAAUCCAGACUCCAUAUCAUUAUUUAUAUUGUAACACAAAUGUGUUCUAUUAUACUCCAAGCCUUGGUACAUGAAGGCAUGAUAUUACCCCUCUCCCCCUGCCCCUUCUAUGUAUUUUCUGAUUUGUUUGUGUGACUGUACUGAAUGGUGCUUGCAGGUCCAUGGACAUUGUCAGAAUUUUCACUUUAUUGCAGUGUCUUAUUUUCAGAUCUCAUGUUCCUCAAGGUGACAAGGCUUUGGAGCCAUGGUUUUCUUAGGCUUGCUCUCACUACUGCUGUAGACAUGGAACGUUGAUGACAACAUACAGAAUGAUAUUUGAAGAUAAGGAAUUAGUAUGAGAUGCUUUAGGGCGUUUAAACAAUUGGAUAAGAUUAAACACAUGUGGUGCCGAAUUGGCAAUCCUUCAUCCUUAUUUUCUUGAUAAUUGUCGGAGUCCUGGACUUGGGGGUAUCCAGUCCUGCCUACCUGCAGCCCACCACGUGGCUCCAUCGACGGCCUGGUACGGCCCAGCUUCGACAACAACACAGCAAGACGACACCAAGACCCCCGAAGGA
Long non-coding RNA from Triticum dicoccoides, 2651 nucleotides. RefSeq lists it as uncharacterized. NCBI's taxonomy places the organism in Eukaryota, Viridiplantae, Streptophyta, Magnoliopsida, Poales, Poaceae. The transcript has 7 exons. The record is from RefSeq and is a predicted model, not a curated record.